This 677-nucleotide unclassified non-coding RNA is filed under the name Hevea brasiliensis (rubber tree). The record is from RNAcentral. Lineage: Eukaryota; Viridiplantae; Streptophyta; Magnoliopsida; Malpighiales; Euphorbiaceae.
GGGGUUCCUUAUUUGAUUUCUUUUGGCUUGGUCACCUAAAAUUUCUCCCAAUUUCUGCAGUGCGAAAAAUCAAUUAAUUAGCUUACGAUACAUAUUUACCCGCUGCAGCCACAACUGCUGCCGACACCACCGUCACCACCAAACGCAACAACCUCUAGGGAGUGCUUCACCUGCAGGUGACAAUCCUAACUUAGAGGACAUUGAGGAUAAGGCUGGCAAUUUUUGAUAAGGACUCCUUGGUGAUUUCAUCAAUAUCCCUGUUGUCACGCCCUUUUUUUCCUUUGUUUACCCUGUACAAGAAACCAAGAAAACGAAUUUCACUCCCAUCAAUAAGACACGAAAUUAAUUUCAGGAGAACGCAAACCCAAUAUUUUGUACUUAGAAGUGCCCAAACCCAAUGUUGGCAACACCUUAGCUUUGCCAAUUUUCUAAUGCACGCGAUCUUUUAAGCAAAUUUCUGAGUUUGGUUUCAAGUGAAAACUCAAUUCCUUGAAAUGCUGUAAUUGCUUUUAUCCUCCCUUUCUCCUGCUUGAUUAUUCCAGCGUAAGUCACAUUCUCAAGAUUCAUUUGCAGCAGCUUUCAUUUCCCUCGCUUUGUCUCUUCUACCUCCAUAAAGCUGCAGUCGGGCCGAUUCUCUUGUUGUACCUCCAUCUUUCUUACUGUAUGUUCACGCUGCG